AUACGUAGGGGGCAAGCGUUAUCCGGAUUUACUGGGUGUAAAGGGAGCGUAGACGGUUUGGCAAGUCUGAUGUGAAAGCCCGGGGCUCAACCGCGGGACUGCAUUGGAAACUGCAGGACUUGAGUGCUGGAGGGGAUAGCGGAAUUCCUAGUGGAGCGGUAAAAUGCGCAGAUAUUAGGAAGAACACCGGUGGCGAAGGCGGCUAUCUGGACAGUAACUGACGCUGAGGCGCGAAAGCGUGGGGAGCAAACAGGAUUAGAUACCCUGGUAGUCCGUGCCGUAAACGAUGAAUACUAGGUGUAGGGGGUAUCGACUCCCUCUGUGCCGCAGUUAACACAUUAAGUAUUCCACCUGGGGAGUACGGCCGCAAGGUUGAAACUCAAAUGAAUUGGCGGGG
RNAcentral lists this ribosomal RNA (397 nucleotides) under uncultured bacterium. RNAcentral describes it as "partial 16S ribosomal RNA". It matches the Rfam family "Bacterial small subunit ribosomal RNA", at positions 523 to 918 of the family's 1533-position model. The record is from RNAcentral.